CGCGCACGUAGGACACCAGGUUGCGGUCGCGGCCGCUGCGCUCGGCCUCGCGCGCGGCGGCGUUGAAAUCGACGAUGCUCGGC
Molecule: transfer RNA, 83 nt
Filed under: Xanthomonas sp. SI
Lineage: Bacteria; Pseudomonadati; Pseudomonadota; Gammaproteobacteria; Lysobacterales; Lysobacteraceae
Description: tRNA-Arg
Source: RNAcentral